CAACAGUUUGGCGAACGGUCGCCGAUACACGCUUUUAAAAAUAUAGUUGGCAGUAAGUGAAAUAACAGCAAUACUUUCAUUUUUCGAAAAGAUGCACUUUAUACACGUCGACAUUUGCAUAGCUGUGUUAAUCAUAAUUUAUUAAUAUAAUACGAGAAAACAAAAAUAAUUAUUUUUUUCGAUGAUUGUGCGUAAGUUUUUGAUCACUGAGUAUAUUAUUUUUUAGCGUGCAUUUUUCUGUGCCUCUUUCGAGACCGUGAAAAAAACAACAACCAAAACCUCGGUCGCGAAAAGUUUGUUCCGUUUUUUCCUUCAAGGAUGCAGAAAAACAGCGAUGGGACAUUCCCAGCAAACAUUUCCACGGAAUAAGAGCUGAACCAACCACUCUCAAUCAUAUUUCAGCUGAAUAAGCUGUUAUUCAGCUACUAUUGUUUGUUGGGUUGUGCGGCCUACGGCUUGAGGAAACAGUUCAACAAAAGGAGAAUUGAAGACCCGGCUACCGUCUGGGCCACAAGAAAAAUACGCAUCAAAAACGAUUUCAAACCACGUCCGUAGCAACAUCUUCCUGUUACACCGACGGACUUGUACCCCGGCAGCAGCAUCACCAGAAUACCAGAUAUAAUCCUCGGCAGGAUUAUAUCCAUAAUCCCGAUCCUUGCUUAAUCAUCCCGGGAGGGCCAGUAGACGACCGACGAUUUUUUGUAAUUUUCGAGCUUCUGAAUGCUCAACGGGAACGAGCAGGACGGAUAAUGAAAAUUCUGAUUUAAGCUCAAGUUUUGUGUUUAUAAAUAAUAUAGCAUAAUGAAAUACAGAAAAAAAAA
Aedes aegypti (yellow fever mosquito) is the source of this 821-nucleotide long non-coding RNA. RefSeq lists it as uncharacterized. Lineage: Eukaryota; Metazoa; Arthropoda; Insecta; Diptera; Culicidae. The transcript is spliced from 3 exons. The record is from RefSeq and is a predicted model, not a curated record.